UUUUUUUUUUUUUUUUUUUUUGUGAAGGAUUAAAAUUAGAAAACAAAAAAUGCAAACUUCUCGCUGGUUCUUCCUGUCAAAGUUUCAAACGGAUGUUAUUUUGGGAAUGUAUUUCAAGACCAUCCUAUUUUUCGCUACCCUUAAUUCCAUUACUGGUGGAGCAUUGCUAUAGUGCCUCCUCUGCUGGCAAAACGAUUCAUGACCCAAGAAUUGAACAGCCUGAUUCUAAAGACAGUCGAGUUUUAAUUGUUAGAUUAUUACUACUAGCUCAUAGGCGCUCGUUUCGAAAGAAUUCUUGCUGGCGCUGGCAAUGAGCCACACGAGGAGGAAUUCUUUCGUUUAAUAUUCUUUCAUUUGACCUUCGCAACAAAUAUUCAAGUCAUGGCGGAAGAUCUCGAAAUGCAGGGUAGCGAUGCCGGCAACAACAGGGACUCUGAAGGGCCAAAUGAAACGAGUACCAAGGGUUCCUUCCAUGGGGACCUGAUUCUCGCAAAGAAAUAUCAGCCUUCGCUGCGUCGGCGAAAAGUAAUUAAUUUGUUUCAAUUGUUGAUCAUCAUAAAAUCUGUUGGACUAGUGACAGCCAUCUUGUAUUUUAUGAUCACAGAACGCAACGAUGGGAGAGUCCUUCUAAUUUCCAUCGAUCCCACAGAUGAAUUUAUGGUUACUAAUUCAGACAAAAUGCUGGUGUUUGACGUCUCAGGAAUACACGUUGGUGCAAACAUUGUUGUUGGCGUAUCAGUCUCUUGGAGUCGUGUACGGAGACAUUGGCACUUCACCUCUCUACGUGUUGUCAUCUGUUCGGCUCGACAAACCUACGGAAGAAGACAUGAUCGGAAUCCUCAGUCUCGUCUUUUGGACCUUGACCAUAAUCCCGUUGAUCAAAUACGUCUUCAUUGUCCUUCGGGCUGAUGAUCAUGGCGAAGGUGGAACUUUUGCUCUGUAUUCUUAUCUGUGCAGGCAUAUAAACUUCCGAAGCAAACUGACCAUCCAAAGCACAAGAUUAGAAUCUGAUGCAACCAUGAGUUUUUACACCCAAGGGAGUGCAAUACAGUCUAAGACCAAACAAUUCAUUGAAAACAGUCGCGCAGCACAGAAUCUCCUCACGUUCGUUGUACUUUUGGGUACCUCGAUGGUGAUCGGUGAUGGCGCCUUGACACCGGCCACCAGUGGUAAGCAAUCGAUCAUAAACCCAACAUUCGUAGUAAUGAAUGAUAAUACUCGAAUCAUUAACGGUUGAAAUUCUCUUUCAUUAACGGUAUGUUUCUAUGGCACUUAAAACAUUCCUUCCACGACUAAUAAUCUUUCCGUACAGUUCUUUCGGCUCUUGCGGGAAUUCAAACACUUUCCUCAAAGAUAACAACAGGUACAUUUUUGUUCAUCUGCAUAUCAUGGUAUUUGAUUAAUAAUGAAACUACCAAAAUUAUACAAAUGAGUGAUGUUUGGUCAGGGUAUGUUGUGUUCAUGGCGGUUGUGAUACUGUUGGCUCUAUUCCUUUUCCAGUCAUGUGGGACGAGCAAAGUCGGGUUCUCAUUCUCCCCGAUCAUGUUUUUGUGGUUUGCUGCGAAUGUUUUCAUUGGCAUUUACAAUAUUGUCGCCUAUAAUCCUGCUGUCCUCCGUGGUUUAUCACCUCACUACAUUUUCAAGUUCUUUGGAAAACAAGGCAAAUCUGGCUGGGAGGUUUUAGGCGCCGUUUUCUUGUGCACAACAGGAGGAGAAGCCAUGUUUGCUGAUUUGGGCCACUUUAAUAAGAGAGCCAUUCAGGUGUUUGCCAUUACAAAGUUUAAAUGCUCAAUACUCUGCAUCGAGCAGCCCAUAACAAAUGUUUGCAAGUUUAGUUAACCAAUCACAAUACUGCUUUUGCAGCUGGCUUUCUCCUUCUUUGUCUAUCCAUCUCUGGUGCUGUGUUAUGCUGGUGAGGUAGCUUUCUUGUCUAAGCAUCCCGAUGCCCUGACCAACGCUUUCUACAGCUCCAUUCCUAAGACAGUUUACUGGCCGAUGUUCGUGUUAGCAACCUUGGCCGCAACAAUUGCCAGCCAAUCUAUGAUAUCGGCCUCAUUUUCUAUUGUUAAGCAAUCUUUGGCUUUAGGUUGCUUCCCCCGGGUUAACAUAAAGCAGACAUCCCCCAAACAUGCGGGGCAAAUUUACUCCCCAGAAAUCAACUACAUCCUGAUGAUCAUUUGUAUUGCUCUCGUAUUGAGAUUCAAACAAGGGGUUGAGAUAGGAAACGCAUAUGGUAAUUAAACCGCCUUUUUCAGCUAUAUGAAGUUCGACUCGAGUGAAUAUUGGUAUAUAUGUUGGAUAUUAAUCAAUCUUGGCCUAAUCAACUGCAGGUGUGGCUGUCAUAUGGGUGAUGAUAAUAACUACAUGUUUGGUGACGCUGGUGAUGUUGGUCAUUUGGGAUACAAAGUUUCCUCUGAUCCUUGCAUUUUUCAUUCCAUUCAUAUUCAUCGAGGGCGCAUUCAUGACUUCCUUGCUCAACAAAAUCCCUCAAGGUGGAUGGGUGCCAUUUGCAAUCUCCGGUUUCUUCCUGGUGAUCAUGCUGUCGUGGACUAGCGGGAGGAGCAAAAAGACCUCAUUUGAUGCAGAAAGGAAGCUGAGUCUAACGGAAUUCACGAGCGUGCUGUCGAGUAAUGAUCUCUAUCGUCCCCCUGGUAUUUGUCUCUUCUGUACCGACCUUGUCAAUGGGAUUCCGCCCAUCGUUCGCCAUUAUAUUCAGAGCACAAACUCUCUUCGUGAAAUUACCGUGAUCAUCACAAUAAGGACCCUACCAAUCAAAACAGUCCUUGCAGAGGAGCGUCUUGACGUGGGAAGAUUGGGAAUAGAUGGGGUAUACAGGUGUUUGAUUCAGUUCGGUUACAAGGAUUUGCAGAGCUUGGAAGAAGAUGACAUUGUUGCUUCCAUUGUGGCAAAACUCCGCGACACAGCUGAAACGGAGGAAGAGGCAGAAAAGCUUGGAAAAGCUAUGAAGAAAGGCGUGGUGUUCGUGGCUGGUCGGACUAUUCUCAAAUCGAAGGAGAGCAAUGGAUGGCUUUCUCAUUUGGUGAUAGAUUACUUGUACAGAUUCCUGCAGAAGAACUGCAGAUCAGCACUCACUUCACUUAAAAUCCCUCCUGGAAAGUUUUUACAAGUUGGGAUGCACUAUGAAAUUUAAGACCACCUGCGCGAUCCGUCAGCUUCACUCUAUGAUUCUAUCUAAUUAAUUUUGUUCGAUGUCCUUCAUGGCAGCACUAAUAAUGUAAGUUUCGAACUUUGUCUGCUGUAAAAUUAAGCACAGUCCUACGGUCCCAAGUCUUUGAACAAUGAGUGAGAACGAGGAAAGAUGGUAAAGCGUAUUGAACGAGUAUUAGAUGGAUACUCUCCUAAUGCAUCACAAUUAGCAUAGUGGUUCUUUGUUUUUAAAAAAUUCAUGGAGUGCAAUAAUAUAGGUUAAUGUAGUAGUAGUAGGGUAGAUUUUUGUUGUUGCCAAAAAAAAGUAAAAAAAAAAAGAGCAUUAGAUUAAUACCUUUGGUGACGUAGUAUUUUAUAGGCAAUUUCCCUUUAAUAUUACCACUUCCAUCAUCAAGCUUAACUUAUGCGAGCUUGGAACUUUUUUCCUAAAAAAAAAAAAAAUUAUUUUUAAUUCUGUUCCAAAAGAGUGAGGGUGCAUUUGAUAAAACUGAAAUCUAAAAUCUGAAACACGAGCUCAUCGAAAACAAACAGGCAUGCGUACGUAGAAGUUAAAAUUUUGAAACUAAAGGCUAUUCGAAUUUUCACGGCUUCAAUAGGAUUUUACAUCUUAGAUACAUACCACUGCAUGAAAAUUCUCGCCUGCUGCAUCAAUUAAUGGCUGCCAAUCACUUCGAGAGUUUAAAUAAUUAUUCUUGUUUCUGACCGUAGGUGGACGUGGAGCCAUGAAGCUUAGCGUUAAAAAAUGACCCAAUUAAUGUACUAAUCACUCGGACAGUUUAAUUAUCUUUCUUGUCUCAGUCCGUAGGUGGAACCAUGAAUCUUAGCGUUAAAAAUGACCCAAAUAAAUUACUCCCUCCGUCCCACUUUGAUAGUCUUGUUUCUUUUUUCACACAGUUUAAGAAAAAGUAGUUAACUUUGUUGGAAAAGUAAAUUUAGAUUGCUAUUUUUCUAAAAUACCCUCACAUUAAAUAUGGUACAACUUUAUGGGAACUUGAAUUGAUGGUAAAAAAAGAAUCAAUUCUCAUUAAAUGGGGUAGGUUUAUAGUAACAACUACUUACAUUGAAUAAGGGUAUUUUAGGAAAAUUAAAAUACAACUACAUUCUUAAAUUGGAGAGUGGACUACAAUUUGGGACAGAUGAAAAAGGAAUACAGGACUAUCAAAGUGGGACGGAGGGAGUAUUAGCUUUUUAGAACAAAGUAGUAGUACUUGCCGACAAAAGAGCGACCCUUAGUGGGCAUGGUGGAGCAUGCAUUUCCAUCCGUACCCGUUUAAACAUCCACACCCACCUCACUUAAUUGGUUUUGGAUUACUAAAAAAAUUUAGAUGGACGUUAAUGGACAUCCAAGUAAAAUCAAUUGGUUUGACGUUUUUAAGUGGAUGAUCAUCCACAUAAUCCAUCUAAAUCCAUUUUAAAAAGUAAUGAGCAAGCCCAGCACGUUUUGGCAGUACUAAUGAUAAUGUUUCUUAUAUGCUAACACUUUUUAUGAUGUGAUGUAUGUGAGAUAAAACGGUGAUUGAGAAUAUAAAAAGGUGAAUUGAAAAAUGUGUUUAUAAUGCAAGCGAAAAAUUUGCUAUCCAAACAUAGCCACAGUUGCACUCCCAGUCCAAGACGUUGUUCAGCUCUUCCCACUCACGCGAUCAAAGUUUUUUUUUUUUUUUUUUUCUCUCAAUCCAAUUUAGUUAUCAUCAGAACUCAUCCUAUUAACUUAGGAGUGUCAUUUUAAUCUACCUAUUAGUUAAAGAAAUUAACUUUGUGUUAGUCAAAUAGAUCUUGACUUUGUGUUAGUUAAAUAGAUUUUAAAUAAAAAAUUGAGUAUACAUCAUUCAUUUGGAUCCAAUCCACAUAUAACCCACUUAUUAUAUGGAUUUAAAUCGAUUUGAUUAUUUAAUCUAUGAUCCAUUUAUAUAAAACAAAUUAUGAUCCAAAUAUCCAUUUUUACACCUCUACCUAAUAUUACUUGAAUUCGAGGCUUAUAAUCAACAAGCUCUCGACUCUUUUUUUUUUGGGUAUUUUUUUUCCUUCUUUUUUUGGUUUUUUGGGGGGGGGGGGGGGGAGUUCAUAACAAUCAUGUACGUAAUUUGAUUUCGCUAUUCUUGAUACGUAUAAGCCUCUUAAACAGCAAUCAUUCGUUGAAUUUUUAUUUUUUAAUGUGGGCUCUGUUGUGGAGGCAAUGCUUUUAAAUUGAUUCCUGCACAUUCUGUAUUUCAUUCACAUGGUACCAAAGCCAACUUCGAAGUUCGAUUGCAAAUUCCAAAGCACUCACUAUAGCCAAUUGUCACGUUGGAUCAGAUUCAGGCCGCUCUACAAAAUAAUAACAAGCAUGGAAGGCAAAGUUGCUAACAGCUCCGUGCUAGAAGACGAUCUUGAAAAUGGUGGCACUGGAGAGGACACGGUCGGUUUUCGCCCAGCUGGUGCUGGAAACAUUAUUGAACUAUCAUCUGCCGUGGACAGAACCCUGAGCUUUAGUCGAGUUUUCAAGUCUUCCCCAACGCCAAACGAGCCCAAGGUCUAUAUAUACCAUAUAUGCUUGGUCGAUUGCCAUUUCUCAUCUUAGGUUAUUCAGUCACAUAUAUAUGUUGCCUUGCUUCAGUCCAUAGAUUAAACACACGACCGGCAUGUACACUCAACUCUAAACUAAGUAUCAGGCAACUUUUUUAACACCUAAACACAAUUUUUUUAACAAUCAUAUGAUGUGAUCAGGAAUAUCCAGCGGCGCAGACAUUGUUGUUGGCUUACCAAUCACUUGGAGUUGUGUAUGGAGACCUUGCUACCUCUCCUGUCAACGUGUUUUCCGCUACAAACUUGACAAACGUUACUGCAGAAGAUCUACUGGGGACCUUCAGCCUUAUGUUUUGGAGUUUGACUAUCAUAGUUUGGAUCAAAUAUGUUUUCAUCGUCAUUCAUGCCGAUGAUCAUGGUGAAGGAGGUACUUUCGCUUUAUAUUCCUAUCUCCGUCGACAUAUAAAUUUCCGGACCAAGUUUACAAUUCAAAAUACAAGGUUGAGCACUGAUGAAAGCAUGAGGUUUUCUAACCGCCCCAGCCCCCUACGUUCCAAGACCAAGGAAUUCAUAGAGAGAAGUAUCAGAGCUCAGAAUUUUAUUAUUGUAAUUGUUUUGCUUGGAACUUGCAUGGUCAUUGGGGAUGGAGCACUGACUCCAGCCACUAGCGGUAAUUUCUGCCUCCGAACCAUUCGAAGGAACAAACACAUAUCUUGACAGUCGGGGUUUCAUAACAAUCUCUUGCAAAACAAAAUGUAUUGUUGCUCCGUAAGAAAUUCAUAGCAGUAUUUGAAAUGCUCCUCGUGCGACUUUUAAACUAACAAUAAACAGCAUCUCGGGUCCAAAAGCUCUUUAAAAUCAGGGUUUAUUAUUUCUUUUAUUUUUUUUUCAAGCUCUUUUUUCCCCUUUUUAUGGGCAGUACUAUCAGCGGUUCAAGGUGUCCAAUCCCUCUCUCCAAAGAUUACCCAAGGUACGUACUUCUUGAUUGAAGUUUAUCUUCUUGAGAGUAAAGCAGUCCCAGGAUACUCACAGCAACUACAGAAUUUUCCCUUUUUUGACUGCCGCAGACCAUGUUGUGUUCACGUCCGUUGCUGUUCUGAUACCACUCUUCCUCUUCCAACGCUGCGGAACAAGCAAAGUCAGCUUCACCUUCUCUCCAAUCAUGCUACUCUGGCUGGCUACCAAUGCUUCCAUCGGAAUUUACAACAUUUUCAAAUAUUAUCCGUCCAUUCUCAAGGCUGUGUCCCCUCACUACAUAGUGCUGUUCAGUUCAAGAAAUGCCAAAACUUUAUGGAAUCUUCUUGGUGCUGUAUUCUUGGGCAUAACAGGUACUGUCCUAGAAUUUUCUGGAAAAGUUUUAAGGAUUUUCUACUUCCGAAUUUAAUGAAUUUGAAAGCAAAAAACUCUGAAAUGGAUCUGCCAGUAAAGCUUCACUUGAACUACAAAAGGUUCACUUGAAUUUCAUAUAUUGAUUGGGACAGGAGCCGAGGCCAUGUUUGCUGAUCUGGGUCACUUCAACAAGCAAGCAAUUCAGGUGAGGAAUCACAAAACCAUCUAUGAUUGCAUUUACGUUGGAAAGGGAAAAUACAAAAUAGACGUGUUUACUCGUGAACCCAAAGAAUACAUAUAUGCAUAUUGCGUCACAGGCAUAUUUAGAUUUAAUAAAAAAUUAGAACGCUGUACAAAUUAAUGCACGAUCAUACUACUAUUUUUAUUGUAUAUUUUUGUGAUGAGUGAAUAUUUUGGUAAGUAUUUAUUCGUCUAAUUUCUGGCUAUCAUGGUUAUUUGGCUACUUGAUGGCAAGGCAACUUAGCUCAUUCGUUGUUUUGUGCAGUGGGCUUUCUCAUUCGUUGUUUAUCCAGCAUUAAUCAUCACCUACGCUGGUGAAACGGCUUACCUAAUCAAGUAUCCAGAGAAAAUCAAUAACGCCUACUACAGUUGCCUUCCGCGUCCAGUAUACUGGCCUAUGUUUGUCAUCUCCACACUGGCCGCCGUUGUUGCUAGCCAGUCCAUGAUAUCUGCAAGCUUUUCUAUCGUGAAGCAGUCACUGACCCUCGGCUGUUUUCCUCCAGUCAAAAUGGUUCACACUUCUUCCAAGCAUGAAGGGCAAGUUUACUCCCCAGAAGUUAACUACGCCCUAAUGAUUCUCUGUGUUGGUCUUGUCAUUGGAUUUAAAGGCGGCGUUGCACUAGCAAAUGCUUACGGUAAGCUUCCCUUCCCUUCCCUUCCCUCAAUUACUGUCGAUGAUGACCGUACUUACAUAUAUAUAUAUAUAUAUAUAUAUAUAUGUAUAUAUAUAUAUACUAGGGUAAUUAAAAAAAAAAAUGAAGUUCUGUUGGCUUCUAUCUGUACACAUUGCAGGUGUGGUUGUCAUCUGGGUCAUGCUCAUAACAACUCUUUUGACCUCGUUAGUUAUGCUCGUCAUCUGGAACUCCAAUAUACUUCUAGUCCUAGGUUUUCUCGUACCAUACGUAUUAAUUGAGGGCAUCUUCAUGACGUCCAUGCUUAACAAAAUUCCACAAGGAGGAUGGGUGCCAUUUGCCAUCUCAGCUAUCCUCGGGACUGUGAUGCUGUCUUGGACGUAUGGAAGGAGUAAGAAGAGCAUGUAUGAAGGAGGAGGAAAGAUGAGCAUUGGUGAGUUAAACCAGAAGCUAUCAAGCACUUGUAUCUUUAGAACGCCAGGAAUUUGCUUCUUUUUUACGGACCUUGUCGAUGGUAUUCCACCAAUUAUCCGGCAUUAUAUUCAGCACACUAAUUCAGUUCGUGAGAUAAUGGUGGUAGUUACCAUUAGAACUCUUCCCAUCAAAACUGUCCUACCAGAGGAACGUUUCGUUGUGGGCAGGUUGGGAGUUGAAGGAGUUUAUAGGUGUUUGGUUCAGCUGGGAUACAAGGACUCGCUAAAUAUGGAAGGUGGUGAUUACGCUCGAGAAAUUGUGGCUAAGCUACGAGGAAAUGCGGACACUACAGCCGAACAACGAAAACUUCAUUCUGCCUCAGAAAAUGAAACUGUUUUUGUCAUGGGCAGGACAAUUCUUGCUGCAAAUGAGAACGAUGGAUGGCUUGCCCGUUUCACCAUAGAGUAUUUGUACAGAUUUCUUCAAAAGAACUGCAGGUCAUCAGUUUCGGCACUUCAUUUGCCACCGGAAAAGACAAUGCAGGUUGGAAUGCUAUAUAGACUGUAAAGCAAAUCUAGGAAGUCGCCUAGUUUCUUAGUAUAUGGAUGCUAGUACAAAAUGAAGCCCUUCAAGCUAAUAUGUACAUGAGCAGAAGAAUAUCCAAUCCUCGUUCCGGUACCUAUAUGUUCAGGUCAAUAAGGCUACAUGCAAAAUCGAUUUCACGCUUAACUCGAAAGUGAGAACAAGUUAGCCUACUUUCAAGGAAAGGAAUCUAGCACACCACUUUUCUUGCAGCCUCUAAAUUGAAUAUCGAUUACACUUGCAAACUAGAGAUUCUCAACUGCUAUGUGACCAUCUACUAACUUUUGCCAUCGUCUAAUUUCAAGCUUGCACCCCCACUGAUUGAAGUAGAUUGUAACACAAAAUUUUCAUAAAUACUAGUCCAGAGGCCCUGCGCAUAGCGUGACCCGUGUUAAUAGUGUGUUUGUGUGGUGACGUUUUAAAUUUUUUUUUUUUGUAAUGUGGUGAAUGAAUUGAUGCAGAAAAAUAUUUUGCAAUAUGUAAAAUAAUUGCGAGGUAGUUUGUUUUGAUUGAAUGAGGGUAAUUGGAAAGAAUUAUUGGUAGGUUAUUAUAUAGAAUGUGAUUUAAUGUUGAAGUAAAACGAUAGCGUGUAUAUAUUGUAUAGUUAUGAAAUUGGACAAUAUGGGAAUAGUAUUAAAUGUUGAAAGGCAUAACUUUAUAGUUAUUUCAUAUUGCAGCAACUUUUGCAAGUUCAUUAUCGAAUAUGUGCAUUCGAUACUCGUUCAUGCCUAAGUGGGUAAUUAUGAGAGCAUAGCAUAGUCAAAUAAUAUGGUAUCAUAGCAUUUUUUUUGCAUUCAUAGGUUAAAAAUUUAUCUUCAACUUUGAUGUCCCAACAUUUGUGUUGGUAAUAGAAGAUGAUUAUAUUGUUUUUGUUUGGCAAUAUAUUUGCUGUAUCUUCUGGAUGGAAUUUGUGCAGAAUAACAUAAAUGGCUAAAAUAAAUUUAUGUGCAAUUUUUUUGUAUGUCUUUGGGUUAAUACCUGUUUAAAAAAUUUGGCUUCCUAAAAUUUCCAUGUCCAUGGGCUUGAUGACUACAUAAAAUGCAAAAUUUAUGAGGAAACUUUAUCUUGCAGAAAAUGCUUGCAAUUGUUAAAUAAAUAAAUAAAUAGGAAGUUGUAUUGUUAAAUUCUGUGGAUAUAUUUUAUUAUUAAUUAUGUUACCAUGUUGCUUUUGCAUAUGUGCUUUCAAUAGGGAUGAUAUUCCAUUCAUAGAAGCUAGUGUAGUGAUUUGGGUUGAAAAUUUGAACUCUAAAUGUCAUCACUCCAAUGUGGAAAAAAUGAAUUAGUGAGUUUGGCUGCAGAUUGCGAUCAUCAAUGAAUUUUUUCCAUCUAGAGUUUUGGGGAUUUUCAUCUAGUUUUAGAAACCAUAUUUUGUUUCCAACUUUGAAAAUUGCUUUUCUUCUUAUGUGUGGUUCCAAGUAAUGUAUAAUUUUUGGUGGUAUGACCUGCAAUUAAGAUCUAAAUAUGUGUUAAAUGUGUUUCGGAGAAAAAUUGAUGUAAAUUAAGGAAAUUUUAUAAAAUGGAUACCAAUGUAUCAUCGUCUAGCUCAUUAUACUGCAUCAAGAAUGCAUUGAUUGGAAAAAUUGUAAUGGACAUGUUGGUGCGAUGAAAUCCAAACCCAACACGACAAAUAAAAUAAUAGUUAGUUAUAUAAAGUAAGAUUGGAUGUAUUAGCUUUUUAUUUGUUUUAAAUAGUAAUUGUACUUGAAUGAAGAUGAACUGGUAGAUAUAAUUGUAUAAAAAAGGCAAAAAGAUAAUAUUUUUACAAUAUAAUUAAAAUACUCAUGAUCAUAAUUGUGUAAUAAAAUAUAAAGUUAAAAGCUCAAGGCAUACCCAGAACAAAUGCUAAGAAGAGAUCUAAAUUUGGUAGACACAAUAUUUUCUUUGCUUUAGUUUAGCCAGCACAACUUCUUCGGAUUUUUUUUAUGGAUAUAUUUUUUUUAUUUUCUUUAUGAAUACAUAUAAAUGUCUAUAUAAGUCGAAACUCAUUGUUCCAUGUAGAAUUUACAUUGCAUGGUAUAUUUUGUAACCAUCAUUGGAAUUACUUUUACAGCAAUCAAUUAAAGUAAUUAUUUGUUUAUCCAUGCAAAGCAUUCACCCUUUUAUAUACUUUUAUAUAUGCACAUGUGGUUCAUAAACCAAACAUUCGAAGAACCAAUUACGAAAUUAAUUGAAAAAAAAUUAAAAUAUCGAGAAUAAGAAAGAGUUUUUUUUUUUGAAAAUGAAAAAAAUGAAUUCUAAGAAUAUAAAAGAAGCCAGUAAAUUAUAGAAAAUAUAAAAGAAAAAGUCAUGGGAAACAAAAAAAGAACAGAGUAAAAAGGGGAAUUUUCCAAUAAACAAGAGCAGAGGUUGUCAAAAGCACGGUACAAAAAACCAGCCCAUUCGUCUGGUCCACAUAUGAUAACAGUAAGUAAACAAAAAUGAGGGUCAAAAGCCAAUAAAAUUACAAAGGAACCAAGCAACUAAAGCAUACAUGCUGAACUAAGGAAACAAUGAAUGGCAUAACAGAAAAAUAAGAGAUAUCCAAGCCUAAAGUAAUACUCAUAAAUAUGUAUGUGGGCCAUGUCUAUGGAUGAGAAGAGGCAAGAAAGACACACGUAAAAAUUACAAAGAAACCACUUUACUAUACCGUCGAUCUUCCCAUGUGCUGAGUAAAAGAGGAAUAAGAAAUGGCAAAACCGAAAAAUGAAUGACCAUUAAGGCUAAUCCUAAUCACUCUAACAACCGGAAAUGCAAGAGACCGACGCAAAUGGAUCGAAAUACCCUCAACAUUUCAAGCAAUGCCGAAAUACACCCUCUCUCACUGUUCAUUCAAGCAACCCUCACUUUUAUAUAGUUAGAUAGAUAGAUAAAUAAAAUAAAAAAUUAAGUUGGCAUACCAUGUAAAAAGAAGGGCAAUUGCUUGGUUACUUUCGAACAUCAAGUUACAAGCAUCUAUAAGUAUAUACAAAUGAGGUUACGAAAAAGAAGAUUAUAGGUGUGCUUGGAUAGUAAAUUAUUUUUUGAAAAAAUUAUUAUAGCAAUUUUUGAUAUGAUAUAUACGAGAUUAGAAGGUGAUUAAAACGUGUUUAUAUUAUAUUUUACACGCUCCAUGAGGCGAUGAGCCAUCAAGUGAUACCAUUCUUGUUUUUAAAACCUUCUUGUGUUUCUUUUACAAUAAUCCGUCUCACCCCAUGCGACCUUCCAUGCAAGUGAUACCAUUCUCUAGGACAAAGUUGGAAAGAAAACAAAAUCUAUCCGAGCAAAUACGAAUGGACAACUGGAGGAUGAAGCCGAGAAAAAUUUCUUGCCAAUGACAUCGUAAGAACAUUCUUGACUAAGAAACCCUUGAGCAACAUAGGAAGCAUAAACUACGAAAGUUUCGUGUGAUGUUUUCCCACUAAUCUGGAAUUCUUUCAAAUUACUAAUAAGCUCACACCCUAAACUCAAAGCACAAAACGCACUAAGCAAUCACAUAUUAACACCAUCCGAGAUACUUGUAUCAGCAUUCACAAAUUAAUAUUACAUCCAUGUAAAAAAUUAACUUCACAAUGUCUCGUCUGGGAAUGAACUGCCAAGGUCAGCUCGGCAUGGUAAAAGAAUCAGUCACCUUUACACUGAACAAACUGGUAUAAUUGCAAAGCAGAUGCGCAGCAACCAAAUCAACUAAUUUGCACAUAUCUCGAUGGAAAACAAAACUGCCAUUCAUUUCCUCCCAAUUCUUGUUUUAACGCCACCUGAAAUUUGGAACCAAGAAAACAAGGUUCUAGGAUCACAUCAAUCUUAUAAAAAAAAAAAACUACAGCUACAAACUACUGAAGUAACUCUGAAUAUUUAACCAACCUUCCACUUCUUCAAACUGAACUACCUUCACCAGGUCCGCAGCCGCAUUGUACUCAAACCUGCCAGAUCAAACACCAGUUAUCCAAUGAUAUCAACAAAAAAGAGACUUUUACCAUGCUGUCAUUUAGCUCAAACAAAGUAAUGAUAAAUUAUAACCAAGAUAAAGAGAGGUUAAAUUAUUGUGCUAAUGAUUUAUAGUAUGUUAUGCAGCAUGCUUAAACGUUAAAAGAAACACUUUUGACAGAAUAAAUCAAGAAUCCCAGCUUACAAAUAAAAAAUAUAAAAUUUAAACAUAUGAAGAAAAUACUAGAUCUUGUACCCCUUACUCGAAGCAGUUAUUUCGACCACAUAUAAAACAGAGUAUAUACCAUCUCAGCAGUUCAAAAACAUUACGAGGAGUUGUCGAAAGUGGAAGUUAUUUCUCUAAGAGACAAGAAGCAGGAUUGCAGCUUUACAGCAUAUGAAGAUAUGAAAGUUAGUAAGGAUGUAUAAUUGUUCGCUAAAGGAGCUGAGUAAACCAUUGCUGCAACCUUAAAUGAAUAGUAGUUGUGUGAUCAACAACCACAAAGCAGAAAGAACAUGAGAAACUGCGGCCAGAACAUAGGCUGUCCAUUACCUGUUAGAGUGAAGCACAUCCAGUUCAUAGUCAGAUGCACUUUUGGUAGCUUCUACCAGGGCAUUUACAAUCUCUGCCUUUCGAGUACUAGCCAUAAGUAUAUCAUACUCUGUUGGGAUAAUUAUAGCAAAAAAGUUAUCACCCAGUUCACUCAAACUCAGCUUCUCAACAGCUGCUAGUGCAAUCCGCCUUUUAAGUGCAUCGCAGUCUGGGUCUACUACAUAUAUUGCAAAAUCAGUAAUCAAAAGUAUACGAUGCUUCAUCUUCCCAGAACCAGUAAAUUUCAAAACUUUAUCUGCAAAGAGAACUUUACUGUCACCUGUGACAUCAAAAGUCCGAGAAAACUUAGCGUUCAAGGAAGAACAUUUCAGCUAACUGGUUAACACAAAACUGAGUACAAAUAACUCCUGACGAGCAACAACAACUUUCAGCCUAACACACUACAAACCAGAGGUCCAAAGGAAACACUCAAAGAGCACAUCAAGCAGGACCAUCAUAUGUAGAGUACCAAAAUUGAAAAAAAAGAUAGCUCAACACAGCUGUUGGAAAAACUCUAGAACACCAUUUUCGAAGUAGGUUUGUUAUAGUACUUGACAAUUCUAACACAAAUAUCAAAAGAAGAAAGGCAAACAGUCACCACAAUCAGAAAAUCAUACAAAAGACCACGAACAUCUUGAAUCAGAGCAACAAAAUAGAAUGGAUUAAAAAGAAAAAAAAACGCACUUGCACACUUGAGCGCACGAAAAAAUAAAUGCGCAAAACUCAUACGCCUGGUAAGAGUCACAAAACGGAGUUCUUAAUUCCUCCUUUUCAAAAUUAUAUAUUUCGCUUAGAUCCAUCUUAAUAUUACACAAAUACACUCAACUAAAUGAUCAACGAUGACAUGUCGAUAUUUGCUACUAUAAAGAAAAAAGACAAGCAAAAAAACUGAGUACAUUAAAAAAAAAUCCAACUGAAUUUGAUUAGAGGGAGCAGAACCAGUCCCUGGUUAAUUGAAGAACAAAUAGAUACACAAUAACACCAUGAUUAACUAAUGAUAAUAACAUCAAGAUAUCCAAGGCUUCAAAUUUCAAGUUUUUCCGAUACAAUUUCCCUAAAGCACUAUAAAACGACAACCGUCAAAUUAGAAUCGCGUCGAGAUUAAAAGGCUGCAAAUUAUUACCUUGUUUGCUGAGAAUCUUCAUGAGAUAUGAUCGAGAACGCACGUUGACAUAAUCUUUACUGAAAAGGGUGUUAUUUUGGAUUCCUCCGUUUGAGUGGCCGUUGUCUCGGGUUUCAGGGGAUGCGGUGUCUUCGUUGUCGUCAUCGUAAAUUGGCUGGUCUUUUUCCAGCCGCCGAUUGGAUUGGAACCGUGACAUCCCGGGAAAGGUGGCAAGCCGGCGGCUUCGGACGGUGCGGGAUGCCGCGCCGGUGGUUGUGGCUGCUGGAUUUGUUUAGGCGUGGAAACGGGAGAGAUUAGACAUUUCGGAGCACGGGGCGGCCCCACUUCAGUUGGUGGGGUUCCAGCUGUUGUGAUUGGGAAAAUGUCUAAGUUUAAUUACAUAAUGACUCCUUGAAAUUUAAUGAUGAUACCUUUCGACCCCUAUUAUUUGGACAAGUUCACUUGGCGGAGUGUUUUUCUUAGAUUCAUUGAAAGUGCAUCCUUUGCAAAUGUUUCCCUCCAAACGUGAAGAAGGAAAACCCAACAAUUCACCCAAUUCACCCACUAAUUUGAGAUGUUGGAUUGGGUAAGUUGAAUAUUGAGUCAAUUUUGAGUUAGAUAAUAAAAACCCACAUAUAUUUUGGAUUGUUUGGAUAUUUGUGUUGGGUACCCAUUACCCAACUUAAGUUAAAAAAAAAAUAAACUAAUUACAAGAGAUGGGAUAGGGGAUACAUAAACAUUUCAUUGUUCAUGAAACAACAUGAGACAUGAGCCAAAGCAGGGCCUCCAUGUAUAGAUACUUAACAAAAUUAUAUGAGCGGCUUAGCUAUAAUACUUACUUGCAUGCGUUGACGUUUUAUUAUUUUCCUAUAUUUAGAGCAUUCCACUCCUUUUACUUUCAUAAUAUUUUUUGCCACUUCUUCUUUUGUCAUGUAAUCAAAUAUAAGCCCAUCUGGAUUGUUAUUUUUUGAAAAUUAUAUUAAAAAAAACAUACUGUAACAAUUUAAUAUAUAUAUAAUAACAAAAUAAUUAAAAAAUGCAUUCAAUAAAACAUUAUAAAAUUUUUGGGAUAAAAUAACAAUCCAAGAAAGUUUGCAAAUACCAUAUCAUAUGUGUGUCUUUCCCACUUCUUGUUAUACUAGUACACCAAUAUGCCCCACUUCUUAAGUGUGCAUUUGUAUUUGUAAGUGUUUUAGUGUGUGAAAAUAUGUCUAUUUAUGUGUUUAUGUGUGUGAAAAAGUUGUUUUUAUGUGAAAAUAUAUUUAAGAGAGUUUAUGUAUCAAAAUCUAUUAAUUAAUAUAUUUGAUCAUAUUUGGGUCAUAGGUUUGAGAUGACCCAAUAUGAUCCAACUCAAAAUUAACCCAAUCUAAAGUUGAACGGAUUGGUGUAACCCAUUUAAAUAAAAAUCCAAUCCAACCCUCCCAAUUGCCAGAUAUAGUCGGGAGCAUAGAUAUGCUAAAAAUCCAAUCCAACCCUCCCAAUUGCCAGGUAUAGUCGGGAGCAUUGAUAUGCCUUGACAUUUUGAAGGAGCAGUGAACCAUAGAUGUGGUUUUUGGCUGCUUAUAGAUGGUUGUAAAUUGAUGUUCGAAAGUAACCAAGUAAUUGCCUUCUUUUUUACAUGGUAUCUCAACUUAUGAUCUUCCUUUUCAUAUUCUAUGUUUUGCUUGGGAGAGCUAGGACAAAUUAACCUCAUUUGUACAAUAUUUGAGAGAGAGAGAGAGAGAGAGAGAGAGAGAGAGAGAGAGAGAGAGUGAUCCAGCAUCUUCAUGCAAAUAGCAGUUAAGAACAACGAAAUGCAAAGUAGUUGACCAACCUCAUUUUACAUGGCAGGUAUUCUUGGACGAGCAAAAGAAGAUACAAGGACGUACUACCAAACAAUGCGACUAAUUAAAGCUCACUAGUUGAGCAAUUAGACAUAAUGGGAGAAAAAUUAAUACCAGCAUAUUUACUCCUUUAAUUGAAGUAAGAAUGGUACACUAUUGUUGACCAGAAGUCGAAGCUAUAUCCGCAGCAAUCGGUGUAAG
Molecule: long non-coding RNA, 16467 nt
Filed under: Coffea arabica (coffee)
Lineage: Eukaryota; Viridiplantae; Streptophyta; Magnoliopsida; Gentianales; Rubiaceae
Description: long non-coding RNA (CARA_LNC000855)
Source: RNAcentral